GAGGAUUUAGCUUAAUUAAAGUAGUUGGUUUGCAUUCAACUGAUGUAAGAUGUGGUCUUGCAAUCCUUA
RNAcentral lists this transfer RNA (69 nucleotides) under Alces alces (Eurasian elk). RNAcentral describes it as "tRNA-Ala". It matches the Rfam family "tRNA". From Rfam's summary of the family: Transfer RNA (tRNA) molecules are approximately 80 nucleotides in length. Their secondary structure includes four short double-helical elements and three loops (D, anti-codon, and T loops). Lineage: Eukaryota; Metazoa; Chordata; Mammalia; Artiodactyla; Cervidae. The record is from RNAcentral.